AAGUCGUAACAAGGUUUCCGUAGGUGAACCUGCGGAAGGAUCAUUAUCGAGUCUUUGAAAGAAGUUGUAGCUGGCCUUUCGGGGCAUGUGCACGCUUCGCUCAAAUCCAACUCAUUUAUUACACCUGUGCACAUAUUGUAGGAUGGUUGAUACAGGGGAAGAACUUAGGUUCCUCUCGAGUUGUUGACGCCUUCCUAUGUUUCAUUUACACACUCAUUGUCGUAUUAUGAAUGUUUUUUGCGCUUAAAUAACGCAUUAUAUAUAACUUUUAGCAACGGAUCUCUUGGCUCUC
RNAcentral lists this unclassified non-coding RNA (292 nucleotides) under air metagenome. RNAcentral's name for it is "partial contains small subunit ribosomal RNA, internal transcribed spacer 1, and 5.8S ribosomal RNA". The stretch from base 1 to 46 matches the Rfam family "Eukaryotic small subunit ribosomal RNA", at positions 1786 to 1831 of the family's 1831-position model. The record is from RNAcentral.